This 72-nucleotide transfer RNA is filed under the name Ovis aries (sheep). It matches the Rfam family "tRNA". From Rfam's summary of the family: Transfer RNA (tRNA) molecules are approximately 80 nucleotides in length. Their secondary structure includes four short double-helical elements and three loops (D, anti-codon, and T loops). The record is from Rfam by way of RNAcentral. Lineage: Eukaryota; Metazoa; Chordata; Mammalia; Artiodactyla; Bovidae.
UCCCCAGUGGCUCAGAGGGUAAAGCCCCUGCAUGCAAUGCGGGAGACCCGGGUUUGAUCCCUGGGUUGGGAA